GAGGAAGGAUUGACACUCUAUCCCGCCGAGGGCCUUUCCUAAGAUGCCUGCUGGGAGCACUCACUGUGUGUUUCUCUUUAGGGGAAAGGACACUUAGAGCACCUGUACUGAGAGGUAGAAGGUGGAGGAGCCUGUGUGCAUACCCUGCUUCCCUUGCUGUUACACAGAUUCUAAACACAGGUCUGAACACAAGCUCGAUGGCAACUCUCAGCUCCGUCUGCCGAGGCUGCAGCUCCAAAGCUCCUCACCAUCCUCCACCUUCUCCUCCAGAGUAACAAAGCCAUUGGAUUUCCUCCCACCCCUUCCCCACGCUCCCCCUCCCCCUCGCUGGCACCGGGGUUAUUUAUACAGAAUGUGGAAACAAUUUGCAGGAAAGUGAACAAUGUAAGCGGGAGCGAGGGAAGGGAGACAAGUUUGUUGUGCACACUGAGAGCCCCAGCGGUGAAACGCUGCUUUUUGGGGGGCUGAGAGAACAAACUGUUUUCCUUUCUUCCUUUUCCUCUCUUUCACCAUCUCCCUGAGCUCUUUCCAUCUUGCCAGAGUCGGGUCCAAACCAGAGUAACCAGCUCUGAGUGCGUGUUUUGGAGGAGGUUCAGGUUGGAUCCCUCCCUGCAUCCCAGCCCCGUGAGGCGGUGUCUGUGGACUUAAUCCUCUCCAAGGUUCUGCUCUCGGAUCCUCGCUGCUCCUGGAUUAGCAUUAAUGAGGAGCAUGUGUGCUCACAGGUCCUGCUCCAGGCCCCCAGAGCUGCAGCGCUGGGCUGAGACACGGCUACUCCGAGGAACAGUUCAGCUGAAACAGAACCAUUCCUGGGAGCGAACGAAGCUGGAACUUUUUGCAAAGUCUAAUUUUGGUCUUUCUCCCCUCACCCACUGAGCAUUCUGUUUUCAGGACAUCCCAGCACCUUGCUGGCUCCAGUGUGAGUGUCUGGGAAUCAGGGAGUUUACCUGAGUCCUGCUGGGGCUGAGGAAGCUGAACCAGCACUGACCUCUGAGCAGCUCUGGGAUCUUCAGCUCUCACUCUGCACCAUGAAGGCCUCAAAAAGAGGCAGUCCCAACCCACACACCAUUUGGGGAAGGGACACUGGUGUUGCAGAGGCAAGGGAAUGUUAUCCUGGGUUUUUGUGGCAGAGCAACCGCCUUGGCCACAGUGGGUGCCUCAGCCACUCCUCCCCUCCCCUCCCAGGAGCUGCAGCCUCUCAUCCCAACAGCCUCCAGACUUGGGAUGGGAUCUGUGCAGUUGUGCUGAGCUGGCAGGGCAGGGCCAGGGAGCUGCCAAGUGGGACAGCACGUUCCUCCCUAAACUGGGCACAUUCCUGGCUGAGAACUGGUGCAGGAGAUCCACUGUGAUCCAUGGGCAGAGGUGGAAGGAACAUGUGGAGGGCUUUUCCUCCCUGAGAAUCCAUCCUCUCCACACUCCAGUUCUUCCUGCUCCAUCAGGAGUCCACACACAGAGGGUGAGGUUUCUGUGGGUGUUUGUUUUUGUAACAUGCCCCAUCUGUGCUCCCACAUGGAAUGGCAGGGAUCUCUGGCCAGGCUGGCCCUCCCAGAGCCCUUGGCACAGCAGAGACCAUUCCAAAUGCUGCUGC
Myiozetetes cayanensis is the source of this 1585-nucleotide long non-coding RNA. RefSeq lists it as uncharacterized. NCBI's taxonomy places the organism in Eukaryota, Metazoa, Chordata, Aves, Passeriformes, Tyrannidae. The record is from RefSeq and is a predicted model, not a curated record. The transcript is spliced from 3 exons.